CAGACAAAUGGCAAAUUUUAAUUGAGUGGACAAGUCAGGCACUUUACAAGGUUUUUGAAACAGCCCUGGUGGGAGGAAGCACACAAAAUGCAAGGAGGUAUUGCCCUGACUUCUUAAAAUUUGCUUUCCCCACAGAGCUGAUCAGCAGGACCUGCCUUCUGAGCUGCCACCUCCAGGAACCCCAGCAGGAGCUGUCCUUGGAGCCAUGGGAUCAGCUUGUGGACAAAGCUGCUUUCAUGCUUCCCCACCGACUCAAAAGCUGUCCCUGCUGGUUCCAGAAAUUACACGAAGUAUUUUUGAUUCGUGGAACCCCUAACAAGUUUCCAGGUAGCCCAAGGCUUCCUGGUCCUGCUGAACCAUCAGGGUUUUUUUACAAAGAAAAGGAGGAACAAAGGAUGUGGUCCCUGAUAGCUGUACCAGGGAUUGCCACAUUGCCCUGGCUGGUGUGGCAGGUGCCCAGGAGUGACAAGAAAUUCAGCUCAGUUCAGUUGCAGAUGAAAGAUAUAACUUUGCAUGGAAACCACUGGAUUGAUUCUCUACCUUUGGCUACAGGUAAUUGCUUUACCUCAUGCAAUUAUGUGUGAUAAUUAGGAAUAGAUUGUGUAGGGAAUAGCAAAAAACCAUGAGUACAUCCUCUGCGUUUGUGGUCCGCUCCUUUAAGAGCGAUUAUGAUUUUUUUAACAGUUUCUUUUUUUUAGCCCAACCUGUCUCCUUCUUUCUGUUUAAUUGAUCAAGCAUAAGAAGGGAAAAUAAAAGUGUAUUUUCAGCACAUUACAGAGUUCUGUUCAUUUUUAGGCACGCUUUCUAGUACAAGCCCUUAUUGGAACUGCAGUGGAAAAGCAGAAGGAUUUAAGGACUCUAAAAUUCUCAUUUCCUUCAAGUCUGAUACAGUGAUGGAUGACAGCUAAGGACACCAGGCAGACCUCAGAAAUAGAUGCAGCUAAUUCAUGACAAACACAUUUUGGUUGGCUCAGACUAUAUUAAAGUAAUUACCUUGUGCUCUCUUUUUAAUAUUGGUUUGUUUGUUUACAUAAGUGAUUUUUUGAAAAGUGAGAAGUGGAAAGGUAGAGGACAGUUCAAUAAAGGUUUGUAAAAGUUUCACUUCUUCAUCACUUGAGAAGUGCUAUCAUGCUGCUAUUCUUAAUGAAAGGUCAGUCAAUUAAAUUGUCCCUGGGAUUCCAUUAAUUACAUUCAGAGAUGGAAACUUGUUGUUACAGACUAAUAAACUAGCAGAUGGCUUUAAGGAAGUGGGUAAGGUGGCAGUUUUAAAUAGAAACCUACUUGCUUAAAAAUAGAAAAGACAGUAGAUUUGAGCGAGAUGUUCUGUAAGCAGCAUGUCACUUCUCCACUGCAGGCCAAGAGACAUGGUUUUAAGCUGUGUUAGAAGCCUUGAGUUCAUUGUCACUGUUUAUCCUCUAAGCCUCUGACUGAAGGGCCUGUAGCUGGAGAUUUCUUACUGAGAAAUCUUUUAGUCUCAAACUUGGCCUGUGAUAACUUGGGUGAUUUUUCUUGAUGCUUGCAAAGCCAUUUAUCUGGGGAUGUAAUUGAAAUCCGGAGACGCCACAGAACGCCGUGGCUGUGACUGAGACCCAGUCUUGAAAUGUUAAAUAAGUUAAGACGCUUAAUGGUUUACACCCUUAAUGUUGACCCAUUUUAUAAUUAUUUUGAUGUUUUCCUUUACUUGUUUUGGGUUCAUUGUUAUGGUGAUAAUAACUUGCCUUCCUUAUCAGUCCUGCAGUUGUUUUAUGGUACAGCAGAAGUAAUAUUCCAGUAUUCCAGAUAUGUUCACAAAUAAUGCAAACUUGAAUUGUUUAAGGCAUUUGUGCAUAUUACCAUGUACAAAAGAAAAUAGAACACAUGAACCUUAACAGCAUCCUGCAGGUUCUGUGCCCUCCCCGGGAGCAGUUCUUGCUCUGGGUGCCCUUCUGGGCCCAGUUCAUGCAGCACAGAGGCUGCAGUUCAGGCUGUGCUGGCCAUGAGGGGCACACCCCACAGGGAAGGCAGUGGCUGCCAGGUGAGGUUUCCUGCUGGAGAACAGCCAGGCUGGCUCAGCUGUGCACAGGGGACGCUCCAACACCUACACUCCAGUGCCGGUCUCUUAUAUUUGAUAAUACUUCUCCUCACUUGAAACAGGAGAUCAGUUGUGCUCUGGAGAGAACCCAGGCUGAUUCAGCAGUUGACAGGCCAGCACCUGAUGCAAGAAAAGGGCAGAGUCACACUGUCACUGCUGCCUGGUGCUGUGCUGCUGGCUUGGCAAUGGUGUGAUGCUGCCUUUCCAUUUGUUUGCCUCUGAGAAAAUCAAUAGACUAGUUAUGUCAGGAGCCCUGAAGAACAUCAAGAGCCUUGUGCCUAACCUAAAUAUUAGAAGAGGAUCCUUUACUCUCCUGACUGCAGACCUGUCCUACCAGUCCUGCAGACUGACUGGGGGUGGGGGGGCACAGUCACAUUUUGCACAUAAAUGGAAAGAACAAACCCCAGCUUUCUUUAACUUCUGCCUUUAAAUGGAAGAUUUUAGUGUCAAGCUUUACCUGGUUUUAUCAGCUGUAAGACUUUGUAAUCACUUUUCUUCAGCUGCAUCCUGGCUUUAGGUUUCUUCUCUGUGACAAGAGCUGCCCAGUGGGCUGGAGGAGAGGUGGUAACACAGUGUUUGUGGCACAGGGCCGUCCUUGGGGAAGUGUGCAGCUAAACAACCUGAAAAAAGGGCAGGGCAGAGCACGGUCUGGGUAGCAGGAUGAUCUGGUGGAUUGAGAGGGACAGAAGGGGAUUUCUGCCCUGUUCUGGCCAUUUCCUUGCGCUAAGGCUACGUGUGAUACAUGUUCAGUGUUACUAGAAGAGUUAGCAUUUGCCUUACAGCUUUAGUCAGAGAAGACUCUGGUGGGCUGUCUCCUAGUUUGCAUGUUGAGUGUGAGUUGUUUGGGUCUGGCUGUAAACACUCCCAUGUCCAUAAACUCAGGACCAUCUUGCCUCAGUUUGAACUCCUGAAAGUAGAGGCUUCGGUGGAAAUGCAGCCCCUUAUCUCUGUGUGAAAUAAAACCUGCAAUACCCAUGUAACUUUUACCCACAGGAUGGGAUGCUGAGAGCACCAAACAGCUCCAAAUAUUGAACAAUGUAAGUCAGCACUAUGAGCAAUUCUUGCCGUGAGUCAAUGUUGAAUCCUUGCCAAAGAUGCCUUUUACAAAUAAAAUUUAGCACUAAUUUAUCAAUGGGUUAGUUCAAAACAUGAUGUAAAGCACUCAGUACAUAAUGAACCCGUCUGGAUCGA
Catharus ustulatus (Swainson's thrush) is the source of this 3262-nucleotide long non-coding RNA. RefSeq lists it as uncharacterized. Lineage: Eukaryota; Metazoa; Chordata; Aves; Passeriformes; Turdidae. The transcript has 3 exons. The record is from RefSeq and is a predicted model, not a curated record.